UGACAUGAGGCUAAAGGGAAGAGAUCAACGUGUCACUGCAGCUGAUGCUGUAAUUUCUGUUUAAUUUACCACUUAAUUGUCAAGUUUAGCAGGAUUGGUGCCAAAUGUAAUCAGCUCCAAUCCGCUGAUGGUGUUUCCACUAAUAAAAGCAAGACGGCUGGCUGGUGUCCCAAACCUCUGCAUCACCUCUGAUGGAAUAUGUACAGUCAGGCCAGUAAACCAUCAAUCGGUGACCUGCAUCUCAUGGGAAAUCUCAGAUUACAAACAUGAUGUCUGA
Molecule: long non-coding RNA, 277 nt
Filed under: Mastacembelus armatus (zig-zag eel)
Lineage: Eukaryota; Metazoa; Chordata; Actinopteri; Synbranchiformes; Mastacembelidae
Description: lncRNA (ENSMAMG00000024439.1)
Source: RNAcentral